RNAcentral lists this non-coding RNA (29 nucleotides) under Homo sapiens (human). Lineage: Eukaryota; Metazoa; Chordata; Mammalia; Primates; Hominidae. The record is from RNAcentral.
UGCCAGAACAGUACAGUGGUAGUGUCAUC